Molecule: non-coding RNA, 27 nt
Filed under: Cricetulus griseus (Chinese hamster)
Lineage: Eukaryota; Metazoa; Chordata; Mammalia; Rodentia; Cricetidae
Source: RNAcentral
CUUUCCUGAGAAACCGAACAGCAUUGC